GAGGGAGGGCAUUGCCAUUAGUAAGGAGUAGCACGCACGACUCCGAUGGUGCAGCUCAAAAGGCUACACAUUGAUCGAAUCAAUGUUGAGGCUUGGGUUACUUUUUAAUAGCAGGGAAGGCUCUCUAAGGUAGUUUCCAUUUAAUAGUUUCCAGGGAAGGAACCAACCGCUUUCUUGAUGCCAAAGGAGAGGGCAACGAUAAUCAAGGCACCGCAACAACAACAAACAGGCGCGCAAGCGGGCGACAGGCGCAGCCGCCACCCCGCUGCAGGCAAACCUUGGGAAAAGUCAUUGGGGGGACCUUCCCCCGCUUUGCAUUACUCCAACGCGGCAAGGGAGAUGAUGCCCCGCCACGGCCUCCUUCGACUUCCCCCUCUGCGCGCUCCCCCCCGCCGCUCACCUCCGCGUCCAGCUCCAUAUCCACCAGCUCCAUGUCGGGCCAAGGUUCCGCUCCCAGCUGAGCAAGCGGCAUCGCGGCUGUUUCCCCAAAGCCCCGACAAGGAAUGCUGCAAGUCCGGCUAAGAGAAUAUCUCGACCCCUCUCCUCCUCCUCCUCCAGCCGCGCGUUAGGCUGCGUCUCGAUCCGAGUGGUGCGCCGGCCAGCCAGGCACGCGCUGUACCCCAGCGCAGCCCUUCGCCUCUUCCACGCGGCCGCCUCCUCUUGCGCCCGGAGACUUUCUAUGCCGCUUGUGUCCCAACCAACCUCCUACUCCGCGUCGGACUCCAACCUCCCCGGGAAGGAGGAGCCGAACGCCGGCCCGGAGCGCCUUAUUGGUUGCUCGGCCUAGCGGGGAAGGUGAGGGCGGCUCCUCCUAAGGCAUUGGCGGACUCUCCGGCGCUUUGCCCGCUUGCUCCGGGGAAGGGCGGAAAGAGGAAGCCCGGCUCAUCGUAGCUUCUCCAGGUAGCAGUUUUGCCUCCGCCCCCCACCAAAAACUCUCGCCUUCGUAAAUUCCGGUUUAAGUCAUCCAUCUGCAAUCACGGCUGCCGCUCGUGCUUUAGCCGGCUGCGUGCGAUCCUAAAGUUACGUAUUAGUGAGUCAGCCUCCACCCACCUCCGCUGGACACAGUACGGGGCUUCCUUCCGAGUAAAAAUGCAAAGGAUUGCGCUGUUAAUGGCAGUCCGAUUCUAGCCAAACCGUGUUAACAAGAAAGCAAGUCCUGUUGAAUUCAUCGGAAGGUUACUCCCAUGUAAGGGAUCGCAGCUUGAAGGAUUAACAACCGCGUAGAACCGGUUACCGGUCUUUUGACCACGUGCAUGCCUUUGCUCCUCACGUGUUGUCUAAUCCGGAAACACUACCACAUGUUUAUAGGACUAACGUGAAUUAGGCUGUAGUCCUGUACAGAUUUAUCUGGGGAGUAAAUCCCUGUACGGCAGCCUUUCCAACAACAACAAAAGGAAGAAACAGGAAUUGUAAUAAUUAGCGGAACACAAUUUAUGGCAAAACGUAACUGACAGCCCAUUUGACAAAUCGAAAAAUGAAAUCUAAUCAGAUGAAAUCUAAUCUAAUCCCUAGUGGUUGAUGUAGGUCCUUUUUCCCAUUCAGUGGGAGCUCUUUUGGAUGUGGCAACACCACAUCUCCACUGAAGCCUAUUUUUUGGACAGGUGCCCACUUCUCUUUCUCACACUUUCAGAUGUGCCCACUAGCCCCAAAAGGCUGCUGACUCUGGUUUUAGCAGAUCUGGUCUCGCCUUAGUUUCUGCCUGGUAACCAGAUACCCAUUGCCAAUUUUUCCACAUAAAGUGGAAAGUGCUCCAUGGCCAAAGCUUAAAUCAGGAGUGGGGAACCUUUGGCCCUCUAGAUAUUGCUGAACUACAACUCCCAUCAGCCAUAGCGAGCAUUCAUUCAUAUAUAAAUUCAUUCAUUCACAUAUAAAACAUCAUAAAAACUUUAAAACAUAAAAACAGACUUUAAAAUAUAUUAGAACAAAACAUCUUUAAAAAGAUUUUUUAAAGCUUUACAAAAAUCUUUUUAAAAAGCAAAGAAAGCAUAGUCAAUGGCCAUGGGUGAUGGGAGCUGUAGUUCAGCAACAGCUGGCAGGCCAAAAGUUCUCCACACCUGGCUUAGAUGAAAGAAGCUGAGUCACAGGCUUCUUGAUGUGACACCCUCUAACCAGGAAUCCUUUCUUCUAAAGUCCCGGCUAUUUCAGGCCAGGGAUGAAGCAGGAGAUCAAUUUCCCACCUGCUCAGAGGACUCUAUUUACGUUCAUAUGUUCUAGUAGUGGCACUGAGACUGGUUCUGGUGCCAAGCCCUGGCUCAUAUACAGCCUAUAUCCAUGAGGCCUUCCCUCCCUGCCUUUACAGAGGUGGGGAACCUCAGGCUAGGAGGCCAAAUACUUUUCACUGGCCUUUCUGCAUGCCCUCCUUGAGUGCUUUUGCCUGGCUAGAAUGUGCUCUUGAACUAUGAUGAUAAUGCCUCUUAACAGACUAACAUGAACUAGCUACAAUAAUAGCCAACAAAAAAGAGAGAGGGAGAACACAACGGGAGCAUUACUGCCAUUCACAAGCAUGUCUGCUCCUUUGAUGUGAACGGAAAGGAGAAAACAGCUCUUGGAGACAUCAAAGAAUGCAAUAUUUAAAAAAAACAAAACCCCACAAGUGACACCAGCUGCUGCCUCUGGAGCAAAACAAGUGAAAUUCCAGGAUGGUCUGACUGUAAACAAAAAUGCAAAGAGUGAAGCGCCUGUCUAUGUGAAUCAGCGUGCUUGGAGAUGCUUUUCGAAUUGCUGCUGUAAAAAUGACAGUUGAUAAACCCAUGUUGGAGGGUUAAUGACAAUCUUUCCUUCAUCUCCUGAUUUUGAGUGACUCUUCCCGCUGCCCCAUGGGCAUACAAAGCGGGGCAAAAAAGAGGACAGGAGCUUGUGCACCUUUAAUAGCCACGUGAAAUAAUGGAUUUCAGUGGUGCAGCACCCUAAUAAGGCCUGACUGAGGGCAGCGUCCUAAGCAUAUUACCUUUUACUUAGUCUCCAUUUUUAUUUUAAGAAACUUAUCUUGUAUGAUGCAGUGAUGACAUGUGAUACACACACCACGUCAGGGAAGGAAGCAACCUGCCUGGUAGAUGUGUACCUCUUUCACCAUUCAGAAAAUCUGGAAUGAGGCACGUUACCAUUGUACAAAGAGCUCUGCUAGAUCAGAUCAAAGACCCAUUGAAGUCCUGCAUCAUGCCUCCCACAGGGGCCAACCAGAUUUCCUCCAGGAAUCCCACAGUCUGGAUAUGAAGGCAAUAGCCCUCUCCCAACUGUUAACCCCCCCUCAGUAACUGGGAUUAGGGUGAGGUUUUUAUGUUGCCUCUGUUUAGCCGUGGUGAGUGGGGUGGCUAGAUGGAAAAGAGGAUGGGGCUCCUGCACCUUUAAUUAUGGUGUAGAAAAGUUUAUUGCAGCAGGUGUUUUGCCUGACAAGUGACACCUGCUGAGAUUCCCUUUUCUACAAAAUUAUUAAAGGUGAGGGAUCCCUGCCCUCUUUUGCACCACGCCACUCUAAAAUUGGUGACUAAUAGCCAUCAAAAGACUCAUCCUCCACAAAUCCUCCUUUAGUAGCCAUCUUAGUAGAUCAGGUGUGGGGAACAUUUGGCCCUCCAGAUGUUGCUGAACUAUGACUCCCAUCA
Rhineura floridana is the source of this 3599-nucleotide long non-coding RNA. RefSeq lists it as uncharacterized. The record is from RefSeq and is a predicted model, not a curated record. NCBI's taxonomy places the organism in Eukaryota, Metazoa, Chordata, Lepidosauria, Squamata, Rhineuridae. The transcript has 3 exons.